Molecule: unclassified non-coding RNA, 726 nt
Filed under: Hevea brasiliensis (rubber tree)
Lineage: Eukaryota; Viridiplantae; Streptophyta; Magnoliopsida; Malpighiales; Euphorbiaceae
Source: RNAcentral
GAGAUUGCCCCAGAGAUGACCUGCCCGAGUUUGCCAUUCUUGGUCGGUCGAAUGUGGGCAAGUCUUCACUUAUUAAUGUUCUGGUUAGAAAGAAGGAAUUUGCUCUAACAUCGAAAAAACCAGGGAAGACCCAGUUGAUUAAUCAUUUCCGGGUGAAUAGAAGUUGGUAUAUUGUGGAUUUGCCUGGUUAUGGGUUUGCUAAAGCCCCAGAUUCUGCUCGAACGGAUUGGUCCUCAUUCACUAAAGGAUAUUUUUUGAACAGAGAAACUCUAGUUGCUGUCCUACUUCUUAUUGAUGCAAGUGUUCCCCCUCAAAAGAUUGACCUAGAUUGUGCUAAUUGGCUCGGACGCAAUAAUAUACCUUUGACUUUUGUUUUCACAAAAUGUGACAAAAUGAAAGGGGGAAAAAGAACAAGGCCGGAUGAGAACAUUAGGAAUUUCCAGGAGCUGAUCAGACAAAACUACAGGGAACAUCCACCAUGGAUCAUGACUAGUAGUGUCACUGGAUUGGGCAGAGAUGAGCUUCUCCUACAUAUGUCACAGCUAAGGAAUUACUGGGAUCAAUAAGAACAUGGAGUCAAAACUACUGCCCAAUGUAAGUUAUCUGUAAAAUUAUGCAUGAAAAUCCAGCAAUUAUAUGAGAUGUUUACAGUUCCCACCCCACCCCCAACCCCAAAUUUUCCUGUUACAUGUCAUUUCUUCUAAAGUUGUGUUAAAAUAAAAAAAA